This 449-nucleotide ribosomal RNA is filed under the name uncultured bacterium. Its description in RNAcentral is "partial 16S ribosomal RNA". It matches the Rfam family "Bacterial small subunit ribosomal RNA", at positions 29 to 523 of the family's 1533-position model. The record is from RNAcentral.
AACGAACGCUGGCGGCAUGCCUAAUACAUGCAAGUCGAACGAUCACUUCGGUGGUAGUGGCGCACGGGUGCGUAACGCGUGGGAAUCUGCCCUUGGGUUCGGAAUAACGUCGGGUAACUGACGCUAAUACCGGAUGAUGACGUAAGUCCAAAGAUUUAUCGCCCAGGGAUGAGCCCGCGUAGGAUUAGCUAGUUGGUGGGGUAAAGGCCUACCAAGGCGACGAUCCUUAGCUGGUCUGAGAGGAUGAUCAGCCACACUGGGACUGAGACACGGCCCAGACUCCUACGGGAGGCAGCAGUAGGGAAUAUUGGACAAUGGGGGCAACCCUGAUCCAGCAAUGCCGCGUGAGUGAUGAAGGCCUUAGGGUUGUAAAGCUCUUUUACCCGGGAUGAUAAUGACAGUACCGGGAGAAUGAGCUCCGGCUAACUCCGUGCCAGCCGCCGCAGUAA